RNAcentral lists this ribosomal RNA (253 nucleotides) under uncultured bacterium. RNAcentral's name for it is "partial 16S ribosomal RNA". It matches the Rfam family "Bacterial small subunit ribosomal RNA", at positions 524 to 776 of the family's 1533-position model. The record is from RNAcentral.
UACGGAGGGUGCGAGCGUUAAUCGGAAUUACUGGGCGUAAAGGGUGCGUAGGUGGUUGAUUAAGUUAUCUGUGAAAUUCCUGGGCUCAACCUAGGGCGGUCAGAUAAGACUGAUGAACUGGAGUAUAGGAGAGGGUAGUGGAAUUUCCGGUGUAGCGGUGAAAUGCGUAGAGAUCGGAAGGAACACCAGUGGCGAAGGCGGCUACCUGGCCUAAUACUGACACUGAGGCACGAAAGCGUGGGGAGCAAACAGG